CCUCCCUUGCUCUUCUCCUCCAUCGACGAUGCCUUCUCCUCCAUCGACGACGCCUUCUCCUCCUUAGCGCUUCUCCUUGAUCGACGAUGUAACGAGAGAUAUAAAAGAACGAAGCUCCAAAUCUGAUUCAGAAUAAUUAGGGCAUUGGCCUUCACUUCGAAUUGGGGAAAGUAUCUUCUUAGCUUCUAAAUCUAUCAAGCAUUCAGGCAGGCUAUCUACGAUAGAGAAUCCAGAAAACAGGAUUGAUUAGCGAAAAUGACAGGGAUACAAUUCUAAAAGGUCUAGAUGAGAUAGAAAGGCAGAUUGAAGCAGGCAAGUUCUUGUGGAGGACUGACAGAUAGGAUGUGCACAUGAACAUUGAAGCAGCUCUUACUGAUUUAGUGGGUGAAUCUGCAAAGCAGCUCUUCUUACACAUUAUCCUACAAUUAGUUUGGAUAUGCUGUCACGUGUUCAUUCUCGGAGCUCUAUGUACAACAAUGAUGCCUUGAUUGCUAAGAGGUGCCAUUUACAUAUGCUAAUAUAUCGAU
Long non-coding RNA from Ipomoea nil (Japanese morning glory), 527 nucleotides. RefSeq lists it as uncharacterized. The record is from RefSeq and is a predicted model, not a curated record. Lineage: Eukaryota; Viridiplantae; Streptophyta; Magnoliopsida; Solanales; Convolvulaceae. The transcript has 3 exons.